ACCCUAGUGGCGGACGGGUGAGUAACGCGUGGGUAACCUGCCCCAUACCGGGGGAUAACACUUAGAAAUAGGUGCUAAUACCGCAUAAGCGCACGGUACUGCAUGGUACAGUGUGAAAAACUCCGGUGGUAUGGGAUGGACCCGCGUCUGAUUAGCUUGUUGGCGGGGUAACGGCCCACCAAGGCGACGAUCAGUAGCCGGCCUGAGAGGGUGGACGGCCACAUUGGGACUGAGACACGGCCCAAACUCCUACGGAAGGCAGCAG
Molecule: ribosomal RNA, 265 nt
Filed under: uncultured bacterium
Lineage: Bacteria
Description: partial 16S ribosomal RNA
Rfam family: Bacterial small subunit ribosomal RNA
Source: RNAcentral